Molecule: ribosomal RNA, 396 nt
Filed under: uncultured bacterium
Lineage: Bacteria
Description: bacterial SSU rRNA
Rfam family: Bacterial small subunit ribosomal RNA
Source: RNAcentral
GACGAACGCUGGCGGCGUGCUUAACACAUGCAAGUCGAGCGGUAAGGCCCUUUCGGGGGUACACGAGCGGCGAACGGGUGAGUAACACGUGGGUGACCUGCCCUCAGCUCUGGGAUAAGCCUGGGAAACCGGGUCUAAUACUGGAUAUGACUCCAUGACGCAUGUUGUGGGGUGGAAAGCCUUGUGCGGCUGAGGAUGGGCCCGCGGCCUAUCAGCUUGUUGGUGGGGUGANGGCCUACCAAGGCGACGACGGGUAGCCGGCCUGAGAGGGCGACCGGUCACACUGGGACUGAGACACGGCCCAGACUCCUACGGGAGGCAGCAGUGGGGAAUCUUGCGCAAUGGGCGAAAGCCUGACGCAGCGACGCCGCGUGAGGGAUGACGGCCUGGUUGUAA